Molecule: transfer RNA, 73 nt
Filed under: Stylophora pistillata
Lineage: Eukaryota; Metazoa; Cnidaria; Anthozoa; Scleractinia; Pocilloporidae
Description: tRNA-Asn
Rfam family: tRNA
About the family: Transfer RNA (tRNA) molecules are approximately 80 nucleotides in length. Their secondary structure includes four short double-helical elements and three loops (D, anti-codon, and T loops).
Source: Rfam by way of RNAcentral
GGCUUGUUAGCUCAGUUGGGAGAGCACUGCACCAUUAUUGCAAGGGUCAUGGGUUCAAAUCCCAUGCAAGCCU